RNAcentral lists this long non-coding RNA (514 nucleotides) under Bos grunniens (domestic yak). Its description in RNAcentral is "lncRNA (ENSBGRG00000015326.1)". Lineage: Eukaryota; Metazoa; Chordata; Mammalia; Artiodactyla; Bovidae. The record is from RNAcentral.
AGAAAGUUAGAUCAUAAGUUCUAAGGUGAGAGCAAUGACAACCAUAUAUAUCAUAUUAGUUCCUUGUUACAGAACUUUUUUAUAUUUUUCUGUUUUAGUAACUGGAAUUCCCUGGUAGCUCAGCUGGUAAAGAAUCCUGCCACAAUGCAGAAGACCCUGGUUUGAUUCCUGGGUCAGGAAGAUCCACUGGAGAAAGGACAAGCUACCAACUCCAGUGUUCUAGGUGUCCUAGAUUUAAAGAAGGAAGAUCAGAGGGAUGAUCGUCUGGAGGUGAUCACUGAUGAUGACAAAGAGGCUGAGGAAGCAGGGGAUGGCAGAGAUGGCUUCCAUGGCUCCCCAGGAACCAUCAGUGGAACAAGUUACUGGGAAUGUGUUGAGUCUCCUUAACUGGGGAGAGGACCCAAGGAUGUUACCAUUCAUGUUGAAGAGUGUUACCCCCGUGGAGAGCACAGACCUUAGAUACUGCUUUGAAGGAAUCCUAAGAUGCACAAUUUUUCAAAAUGCUGCAAGCUAG